This 1490-nucleotide ribosomal RNA is filed under the name uncultured bacterium. RNAcentral describes it as "bacterial SSU rRNA". It matches the Rfam family "Bacterial small subunit ribosomal RNA". The record is from RNAcentral.
AGAGUUUGAUCCUGGCUCAGGAUGAACGCUAGCUACAGGCUUAACACAUGCAAGUCGAGGGGCAUCAGGAAGAAAGCUUGCUUUCUUUGCUGGCGACCGGCGCACGGGUGAGUAACACGUAUCCAACCUGCCCUUUACUCGGGGAUAGCCCUUCGAAAGAAAGAUUAAUACCCGAUGGCAUAAUGAUUCCGCAUGGUUUCAUUAUUAAAGGAUUCCGGUAAAGGAUGGGGAUGCGUUCCAUUAGGUUGUUGGUGAGGUAACGGCUCACCAAGCCUUCGAUGGAUAGGGGUUCUGAGAGGAAGGUCCCCCACAUUGGAACUGAGACACGGUCCAAACUCCUACGGGAGGCAGCAGUGAGGAAUAUUGGUCAAUGGGCGCUAGCCUGAACCAGCCAAGUAGCGUGAAGGAUGAAGGCUCUAUGGGUCGUAAACUUCUUUUAUAUAAGAAUAAAGUGCAGUAUGUAUACUGUUUUGUAUGUAUUAUAUGAAUAAGGAUCGGCUAACUCCGUGCCAGCAGCCGCGGUAAUACGGAGGAUCCGAGCGUUAUCCGGAUUUAUUGGGUUUAAAGGGAGCGUAGGUGGACUGGUAAGUCAGUUGUGAAGGUUUGCGGCUCAACCGUAAAAUUGCAGUUGAUACUGUCAGUCUUGAGUACAGUAGAGGUGGGCGGAAUUCGUGGUGUAGCGGUGAAAUGCUUAGAUAUCACGAAGAACUCCGAUUGCGAAGGCAGCUCACUGGACUGCAACUGACACUGAUGCUCGAAAGUGUGGGUAUCAAACAGGAUUAGAUACCCUGGUAGUCCACACAGUAAACGAUGAAUACUCGCUGUUUGCGAUAUACAGUAAGCGGCCAAGCGAAAGCAUUAAGUAUUCCACCUGGGGAGUACGCCGGCAACGGUGAAACUCAAAGGAAUUGACGGGGGCCCGCACAAGCGGAGGAACAUGUGGUUUAAUUCGAUGAUACGCGAGGAACCUUACCCGGGCUUAAAUUGCAGUGGAAUGAUGUGGAAACAUGUCAGUGAGCAAUCACCGCUGUGAAGGUGCUGCAUGGUUGUCGUCAGCUCGUGCCGUGAGGUGUCGGCUUAAGUGCCAUAACGAGCGCAACCCUUAUCUUUAGUUACUAACAGGUCAUGCUGAGGACUCUGGAGAGACUGCCGUCGUAAGAUGUGAGGAAGGUGGGGAUGACGUCAAAUCAGCACGGCCCUUACGUCCGGGGCUACACACGUGUUACAAUGGGGGGUACAGAAGGCAGCUAGCGGGUGACCGUAUGCUAAUCCCAAAAGCCUCUCUCAGUUCGGAUCGAAGUCUGCAACCCGACUUCGUGAAGCUGGAUUCGCUAGUAAUCGCGCAUCAGCCACGGCGCGGUGAAUACGUUCCCGGGCCUUGUACACACCGCCCGUCAAGCCAUGGGAGCCGGGGGUACCUGAAGUACGUAACCGCAAGGAUCGUCCUAGGGUAAAACUGGUGACUGGGGCUAAGUCGUAACAAGGUAGCC